RNAcentral lists this ribosomal RNA (231 nucleotides) under Triticum aestivum (bread wheat). Its description in RNAcentral is "partial small subunit ribosomal RNA". Lineage: Eukaryota; Viridiplantae; Streptophyta; Magnoliopsida; Poales; Poaceae. The record is from RNAcentral.
AUGGAGUGUAACCUAAAGAUUCUAUUCUGGAAUGUGCGUGGUUUGAACAAUGGUGCCAAACACACUGCUGUCUAUAGCGUGAUCACCGCUGCUUCGCCCUCUAUCGUGUGCCUGCAAGGGACCAAACUCGCGGUCGUCACGGAUUCCCUUGUUCUGGACACUCUCGGCCCUCUCUACGAGGAUUUCUACUCCCUUCCCGCAAUCGGCACCCGCGGCGGCAUGAUCCUUGCA